CCCUCUAUCAAAAUACCUAAGUAUUUUCAGUAAGAUCGGAGAUUGAACUGGAUCUAUAAGAUCAAGGAGGGACUACAUGUACUGGCUUAACAUGAAUAGGUUCUAUAGGUUCUAUGACUCGUUGCUCUUAAGAAACUUUCUUUUUGAGCUCAGUUUUUCUCCCACUAUCCCAUCUUGGAUAAACUAUUUCUCUAGAACAUAGCAUGUCGGGUCACAAUCAUAUUGUGGUCCUUUAGAAGAAAAAUAGUAUUCCUAAAAUUCUUUAAGCUACCUCAAAAUGAGUCUGAUAGACCUAACCUCUAACAUGUCC
This 310-nucleotide long non-coding RNA is filed under the name Elaeis guineensis (African oil palm). RNAcentral's name for it is "long non-coding RNA (EGUI_LNC043518)". Lineage: Eukaryota; Viridiplantae; Streptophyta; Magnoliopsida; Arecales; Arecaceae. The record is from RNAcentral.